GCUGCAGAGUUGCCUUGGUUGCUGAUUUGUGUCCAGGUGUUAUCCAAGGAACUGACUCCACACGGCUCCCCCCAACUCAGCUGCCCCUCAGUGUCACCAGAUGUUGCCUUCCUGCCUCUCGGCUGCUUCUGAUUUCAGUUGAGAAUUUCUCUUUGUCACAAAUUGCCUAUUCAGUUAAUAGAAGCCGUUGAGGGUAAGGCGCCCUUAGCAGUCAUCUGCUCAAUGGAACCCGA
Molecule: long non-coding RNA, 233 nt
Organism: Ahaetulla prasina
Lineage: Eukaryota; Metazoa; Chordata; Lepidosauria; Squamata; Colubridae
Exons: 3
Source: RefSeq, a predicted model, not a curated record